UACGAAGGGGGCUAGCGUUGUUCGGAAUUACUGGGCGUAAAGCGCACGUAGGUGGUUUUAUAAGUCGGAUGUGAAAGCCCCGGGCUUAACCUGGGAAUUGCAUCCGAGACUGUCUGACUUGAGUAUGCUAGAGGGAAGUGGAAUUCCACGUGUAGCAGUGAAAUGCGUAGAGAUGUGGAGGAACACCGAUGGCGAAGGCAGCCCCCUGGGUCAAGAUUGACGCUCAUGCACGAAAGCGUGGGGAGCAAACAGG
Molecule: ribosomal RNA, 253 nt
Filed under: uncultured bacterium
Lineage: Bacteria
Description: partial 16S ribosomal RNA
Rfam family: Bacterial small subunit ribosomal RNA
Source: RNAcentral